GAUGAACGCUGGGCUGUGUACCUAAUACAUGCAUGUCGAGCGAAGCACUUUUGUGCUUAGCGGCGAAUGGGUGAGUAACACGUACUUAACCUACCCUCAAGAUUGGGACAACACUUGGAAACGAGUGCUAAUACCAAAUACGUAUUUUUAUCGCAUGAUAGAUAUAUAAAAGGAGCUUCGGCUUCACUAGAGGAUGGGAGUGCGCUACAUUAGUUAGUUGGUAGGGUAAUGGCCUACCAAGACUAUGAUGUAUAGCGGGGCCGAGAGGCUGAUCCGCCACACUGGGACUGAGAUACGGCCCAGACUCCUACGGGAGGCAGCAGUAGGGAAUUUUCCACAAUGAACGAAAGUUUGAUGGAGCGACACAGCGUGCAGGAUGAAGGUCUUCGGAUUGUAAACUGCUGUUAUAAGAGAAGAAAAACCCUGGUAGGUAAUGACCAGGACUUGACGGUACCUUAUCAGAAAGCGACGGCUAACUAUGUGCCAGCAGCCGCGGUAAUACAUAGGUCGCAAGCGUUAUCCGGAAUUAUUGGGCGUAAAGAGUUCGUAGGUGGUUUUGUAAGUCUGAAGUUAAAUACCGGGGCUCAACCCCGGCCCGCUUUGGAUACUGCAAAACUAGAGUAAUAGAGAGGUUAGUGGAACUCCAAGUGAAGCGGUGGAAUGCGUAGAUAUUUGGAAGAACACCAAUGGCGACGGCAACUAACUGGAUAUUAACUGACACUGAGGAACGAAAGCGUGGGUAGCAAACAGG
This 751-nucleotide ribosomal RNA is filed under the name uncultured bacterium. RNAcentral describes it as "bacterial SSU rRNA". It matches the Rfam family "Bacterial small subunit ribosomal RNA", at positions 28 to 776 of the family's 1533-position model. The record is from RNAcentral.